UUACGGAUGGAAAGGGAUAUUAUGAUAAACAAGUAAAACUAUCUAAGAUUCAAUAUUAUUCCAUUUUGUUUCAAGUUAAAUUGUAUAACUGUACCAAUUACGACUACUUUGUAUAGGUACAAUCUACUAAGUGAUUUCAAAGAAAAAUUUCAUAACAAGUAAAAAUAAAUAAAUACAAACAAAUGAAAAUUUCAAAACAUGCAUCACUGACUAAGUGAAUAAUACCUUAUUAUUAAAAUGUCCUAACUGCAGGAUGUCUCUAAAAUAACUUUUUUUUUUGUCGUUUGGUAGGAAAAAACUCUGCAUUUUUAUGAAAAUCACACCAUAUCUAAGCGACAUAAAACACGUCACAGAGUGAUGAAACCUAUACUAAAUGACGCAGAAAAAUCAGACGAUUCCAAUGGUGUACCUAUCUAACUCAUUUUACCUACUUUUGUCGCUUAGUCAGGAUUGCCUUUCAAGCGUCGAUAUGAUUGCAAUAGCGGCAUUACGAGCAAAGGGGAAUGCCCAUUUCAGGCCCAAAGCGGACAAUAGAUUAGAGAAAAAAUCCUUGGUGCAUUAAUUUUGUCAUAAAUAAAUAUGCAUUUACUUUCUUCCAAAUAAGCGCCACUACAGUUUAAAAUAAGUAGUAUCGGCUUAUCCGUAUCUUUUGAUCUAAAGGAAGACGUAGUCGGCGUUGGUGUUGUUAUUGACAAAGGCGACGAAGAUGACUCGUGUCUAGCACUUUCUUUGUUAAUUUCAAUUAUCGUCAAUUCAAUUACCCUUUUUUUGGACGCUUCGGCUGCCGUUUUAUCAAAAAAAAUGCCAUUUUGAAACGCGGGUCGAGAAAUGUACCUAUCCCGAAAGUUCCGCUCAUCUCUAAAUUAUUCAGUCUUGUGGUUAAGCCGCGUAAAAUCCUGUUACUAACGGCUAUAGCAUCAGAAUGUAAUGAUUCACUGUGUGAUAUUUUUUCAGCAUAUACAUUACGUAAUAAUCUGUUAAAAAUUAUAACAAGGCUGCCUUUAAGAUAUUUUUCUGCACUAAUCUGGACAGUCACUUGUUCGAGUGGUUUUAAAACAGUACACAAAUCUUUACAGAGCCUCCAUUCUUCGGCAUUUAUACUUUCAAUAAAAGAUGUACUAGCGGAAUCCAAACUGCUAAAGUACUUGUUAGUGCUUCUUUUAAUAAUAAAGCUCUUUCAAUCAUAUAGAAGGUGGAAUUCCACCUGGUCGCGACGUCUAUUAUCAUUCUUUUACAUACAUAUUAAAUAUAAUAUGAAUUAUGGCGUGUAAAUAGCUGCACCGUGUGUGCGAUUGGGAAAUGAGUCAAAAUUAUGUAGGUAUAUGAUGUGAUGCGCCCGUACUAGGCACAUUAACUGGCUCGGUAAAGUUGAAAAAACACAAUUCGAAUCACAGAACACAAUAUACAAAACUGGCGUCACUUGAUGAUCUCAAAGUCCUCGUCCUCGUCCAGCGGUAGGGCUCCUUAAUGGUCUCUCAGCGACGAACGGGAGCCGAGCACUUCACAAUAUUGAUUGAAAGUCCUGGUAUGAUGCGAUAGCGGUAGGAAUAGUGUUUUUUUUUAAAUAUUUUAAAUUUUGUAAAAUUUAUUCGUGUGUUGCACGUAGUACCUACUAAAAGAAGCGGGAAAGCGAAUAUGGCCUGUGGCGUGCGGGAGUUCCAAAUUUAAAACUAUAUUUUUUCAUAAUCCAUUUCCGUAUUUCCUUCGCCUUCAAGGAGGUUUCAUUCGACUCCAAAGAGACGGCGUCACGAGCGUGUAAACUUUACAUUCACAAACGUCCAUCCAGCAACACCAAAGAUCGUCAGGACCAAACAGAGUAACGAACGAAUGUUACAAUUUAUUUUUUAUCGUUUACUUAUAGAUUAAUAAAACCAAUCGAAGACUGUGCCUGUUCAAUUUAUUACAGCAAUACAUACUUGUUCUUUGUUUCCAACCUUAUCCCACUAGGUUGGGUCGGCACAGCGAAUUUUUCUUUUCUAUUCGCCUCUAUCAGCCGUCAUCUCAACACUCACUCCGCUUUCUCUCAUAUCAUCAUUCACACACUCCUUCCAUGUCUUCCUCGGAUCAUCUCUUCCCCUGCAUUGCGUACAUCUCCUAGUGCCAUGCAUGUCCUCUCUACGCAACACAUGUACUAUAGAAACGUGACGAUGACGUGUUCAAACAUCUGUACAAUAAACAAAAUCUGACAUUCUUGAACGUUCUGGAACAAGUCUCGAAGGCGACCGGCGGCUUCGAAUCAUUCUCCCAAAUUCUCGCAGGAAAGUGCACAAGGUCGUGAUCACGUACACUCAGUAAAGCAAUAACAAACACGACAACAAUGACUUAUGCAAAUAACCAAACACUACGCUGGCGGCUGUACGUGACAGGCGCGAGUGGUAGAUGGUGACGGUAGGACGGUAAGCAGCGAGCAGACGUCUGUAAGAACCAGCCGCGUGACAACUGUCGCUUGUCGCAACAACCCGCGCGCGUGGUCCCUGCCCCCCCCCGCGCAUACAGUGGCCCCGUCAGCACACGUCUCACCCCGCCACACGCGCUAAAUAACAAUAUUGUUAAUCCAGUGUUCAAUAGUUACAAAUACAAUUGUAUCUUUAGUUUCUUAUUCGCCACACAACAAGUUCUGUAACGUAGCUUGUAAAUAAGGAAAACUUUUUUAUUUUAAAAAAAUAUUUUGAAGAACGGUCUAGCUAAUAACAGAAUAUAUUAAUAAAAAAAUACCUUUUAUUUUCUAGUCAAAUAUGUUAGACUUUCGUUUGUAUUCCCGUGUUAUUCUUUGAAAACAGAAAAUGUUUAUGGACUCUUUUGACGGCACCUUCAUGGGAAACUAUUCGAACCUCGACGAAGGCUUAAAUCGAAUUUAAAUUUAAAUUUAAAAAAAGUUGUAAGCGUCGCAUCGUCUUUUUUUUCACUUCUUAUUUUAGCGUCGCAUUCGUUACUUAAUAAAUUUAUUAAUUUUUAUUUUAUAUUUAUCUAACGCAACAUCUUAAGUAUUAAGUCUAGUUUUCAUGAACAUAAGCGCGUUGCUUUUUAAUUUUAAUAUAAAAACAACUAAUAAUAAUACUUAUCAAGUAAUGCUUCUAUCAUUGUUACUGCUUCAUUAAUAUAAAUAUGUGCCGCAAUAAUUAAGAGCUCAUCGAAGUAACUUUCCCCGGACUACGAGCUGGAAACCACGGCAACAGGCCCCAGCACCGACUUGAACAAAACAAAAUGAGAACAUCAUCAAUGCAGUCGAAGUCAGUCAAAUAUGCGCUGUUGAGGUUAACUCAAAGACAACUGGUCGGAGCUUGAUAAAUAGAUGGAACCGCGCGAGAAGUACCACCAGCUCUUGAAUAUAAGAAGAAACAUUAGGAUUAGUACGCGUCAAGAAUAAUUCUGAGAUUUUAGGCGCGAGUUGGAUCACAUUCCGGAGGCUGCCUUCUACAUGGUGGGCACCAUAGAGGACGUGAUCGCCAAGUCGCAGGAACUGGCCGAAAGCGUGUAGAGUCGAACUGUUUUAUAAGUUAUUUUAUUCGAAUAAAGAUGUUGUAUUU
Bombyx mori (domestic silkworm) is the source of this 3527-nucleotide long non-coding RNA. RefSeq lists it as uncharacterized. The transcript is spliced from 3 exons. The record is from RefSeq and is a predicted model, not a curated record. NCBI's taxonomy places the organism in Eukaryota, Metazoa, Arthropoda, Insecta, Lepidoptera, Bombycidae.